UACGUAGGAGACGAGCGUUGUCCGGAGUUACUGGGCGUAAAGGGUGCGCAGGUGGCGGCGCGCGUGGGGGGUGAAAUCGCCCGGCUUAACUGGGCGGGGGCCUUCCAGACGGCGUGGCUUGAGCAGCGGAGGGGGACGUGGAAUUCCGGGUGGAGCGGUGAAAUGCGUAGAGAUCCGGAGGAACACCGACGGCGCGAGGCAGCGUCCUGGCCGCUUGCUGACACUGAGGCGACAGAAAGCUAGGGGGGAGCAAACAGG
RNAcentral lists this ribosomal RNA (258 nucleotides) under uncultured bacterium. RNAcentral describes it as "partial 16S ribosomal RNA". It matches the Rfam family "Bacterial small subunit ribosomal RNA", at positions 524 to 776 of the family's 1533-position model. The record is from RNAcentral.